RNAcentral lists this long non-coding RNA (3210 nucleotides) under Homo sapiens (human). Its description in RNAcentral is "HSALNT0347546". Lineage: Eukaryota; Metazoa; Chordata; Mammalia; Primates; Hominidae. The record is from RNAcentral.
AGUCUGAGUGUGUGCAUCCGUAUGCGUCGCCUGCCUCAGCCUGCCCGGGUCCUGAACAUGUAGCUGAGAGGUGCAGGACAGUCAGAGGGCCAAAACUUCCCCUGCCAGGCUGAGGCUGGGCCCUCCCGAGCUCACCUGUCCGCGUUCAGGUAACUGGCUAAGUGCCCGCCCGGCCGCGUUCCAGGACACCUGGCCGGGACAGAGCGAAUGCCAGUGAAUCCCAGGGCGCCCUCUCCCGCGCGUUGGUUCUCUAGCCCUCCUUCCCUGGGAGGGGUGGGAUUGGGAGUGUUCUGUUUUCAUUACUGCACCCCUUCCCCUAAAGACAACGGGACUGCCCUCCUCCACAGCGCCUUACCUCAAACAGGGGACCGAUCUUGUUCUUCUCCAGAUAGUGCCUCUUAUGCUUAUGCUGCAAUUAAGCAACUUGUGGAAGAGGCUUAUGUGGUGACAUUAGGAAAAAAGUUAAACAGCUUUAUAAGACAUGAUGAAAGCAGCCAUCCCCUAGUUCCUUCUUCACCCUGAUCUGUGAUCUCCAGAGGAAAUGAUGUUCAACUCAUUUUUUUCUGGUUGGACACCUAAUUUGCACAUCAGGACUGCCAUGGACCAUGGUGCAAUGAAGGUGAAGACUGGAGCACUCAUCACCCACGGGUCUCACUUUGUUGCCCAGGCUGGAGUAUAGUGCCCUGAUCACAGCUUGCUGCAACCUCAAGCUCCCAUGCUCAAGCAAGCUUCCUGCCUCAACUUCCCAAGUAGCUGAGACCACAGGCAUGCUCCAUGACACCUGAACUCCUGAACUCAAGCGAUCCUCCUGCCUCAGCCUUCCAAAGUGCUGGGAUUACAGGCAUGAGCCCCUGAACCCUGCCUACCCUCUGUUUCUAUGUGGUGUUUGUCUUUCUAAGCCUGGCCUAUUUCGUGUAACAUAAUUUCCUCCAGAUUUAUCCAUAUUGUCUCAAAUGACCAGAUUUCUUUCUUUUUUAAGGCUGAAUAGUAUUCCAUUGUACAUAUAUACUACAUUUUAUUUAUCCAUUCAUCUGUUGAUGGACACUUAGGUUGAUUCCAUAUCUUGGCUAUUGUGAAUAAGCUGCAAUGAACAUAGGAGUGCAGAUACUGCUUUGACAUAUUCAUUUCAUUUUCUUUGGAUAUGUAUCCAGAAGUGGAAUUGGGCUGGAAUAUAGGCAGUUCUAUUUUUAAUAUUUUGAGGAAACUCCAUAUUACUUUCCAUAAUAGCUGUGCUAAUUUACAUUCCCACCGCCAAUGUAUAAGGGCUUCCUUUUCUCCACAUCCUCUCCAACACUGGUUAUCUCUUGUCUUUUUGAUAUGUUUUCUCUUCUCUGUAAAGCUAUUGGUUGUAGCAUUUUACUUUUUCCAAAUUUUUUUAAUCAAACUUUUGAAAUGUAUAGCUGAAAUGAAAGAAUUUUAGCAUGAAUGCUAAUAUACACUCAGCACCUAUAUUCUUGCUUUUUCAUGUAUUUACUCCUGAAUUAAUAUAUUACUUGUUAUAUGCUUUUGAAAGUAAACUGCAAACAAGUGCAUGCUUCUCCUAGAUCUUUCCACAUGCUCUGCCAUUAAUUAGAGUUCAAUGUUCAAUUUUUUCCUUUUGAUGUACAAUUAAUACACAAUUAAUUUACACACACAUUUUACUUAGUUCUGAAAAAUGUAUAUACUUUUAUAACUCAAAGCCCAUCAUUAUACAACAUUACUAUCACCCUAGCAAAAUCUUUUGUGUCCCUUCUCAAUCACCAAUCCUGACCACACCCCAAGAAAACUACUGUUCAAAUUUUUCUCCAUCAUUGAUUGGCUUUGUCUGUUUUAGAACUUCAUAAAACUAAAAUACUGUAGUAAAUUAUGUACAAUUUUAUGACUAGCUUCCUUUGCUCAAUAUAAUGUUUUCGAGAUUUAUUCAUAUUGCUGCAUGUCAGUAGUUGGUUCUUUUUAUUGCUGCAUAUUUCAUUGAAUAAAAAUGCCAAAGCUUGUUUAUUCAUUCUUGUCUCACAUCAAAGUAUCUGGGGGAUGUUUUCCACUUUUGGCUAUUAGAAAUGAAACAGAUUUGAAUAUUGUCGUACAGGCUUUUUAUGCAUAUAUAUGCCUUCUUUGAGUAAAUACCCAGAAAUUAUGUUACUGGAUCAUAGGUUAAUAUAUGUUUAGUUUUAGAAGAAAAUGCUACCUCUUUUUUCCAAAAUAUUGUCCCAUUUUACACUCCCAGCAGUAAUGUAUGAGAUUUCCAGUUGCUGCACAUCCUUACCAAAAAUUAGCUUUUCUAAUUUUAGUCAUUGUAAGGGGUGUGUAGUGGUGGCUCUAUGUAGUUCUAAUUUGCAUUUCUCUAAUGACUAACGAUGUUAAACAUAUUUUUAUGUACUUGUUUCAUGUACUUGUUGAUAUGUCUAUUCAAUUCCUUUCACCAUUUUUAUGGAGCUGUUUUUUUAUUAUUGAGUUGUAGGAUUUCUUUAUAUAUGCUGCAUACCAGGCCUUUGUUAUAUACAUGCUUUGCAAUGUACAUUGUCUUAAAAUCUGUGGCUUGCCUGUUCAAUUCAUUAGUGGUGUUUUGUUAAGCAGUUUUUAAUUUUGAUGAAGUGUAACUUAUUCAUUUUUUAUUAUGGUUAUUGCUUUAUGUUUCAGGUCCCAAAUUUUGCCUUCUCACAAAUCACAAACAUUAUCCUAUGUUUUCCUUCAAAAAUUAUAUGGUUUUAUGUAUUUUCAAUCUCAAAAUAUUCUCUAAUUUUUUUGCUGAUUUAUUUACUAAAGAAAUUUGAGGGAUUUGCUAUAAUGUUAGGGAUUUUUCUAGAUGCCACAUUGUUAUUGAUUUCUAAUUUAAUUAUAUUAUGCUCAGAAAACAUAUUCUGUAUGCUUUCAACACUUUUAAAUUUAUUGAGACUUGUUGGAGGGUCCAGCAUAUAAUCUAUCUCAGUGAACACACUGUAUUUACUUGAAAAGAUGUAUAUUCUGCAGUUAUUCAGUGUAGUGUUCUAUAAAAUCAUUUAGGUCAAGGUGGUUGAUAGUUUGUUCAAAUCCAUCUACGUCUUCAUUAAUUUUAUUUAUCUGGCUCUAUCAAUUGCUAAAAGAAUGUUGUUAAAAAUUGUCAACUAUGAUUUUAGAAUCAUUUAUUUCUCCCUUUGAUUAAUGAAUGUUGUUUCAUGAAUUUUGAAGCUAUUCAGAGACAAAAAAAAACUAUUUAUGAAUAUUGUCUUCCUAAAUGAACUGAUGAUUCUUUUG